Paramisgurnus dabryanus is the source of this 2350-nucleotide non-coding RNA. The record is from RefSeq and is a predicted model, not a curated record. Lineage: Eukaryota; Metazoa; Chordata; Actinopteri; Cypriniformes; Cobitidae.
UUUUUAGAAAGUCACCAAAUGCCAUUGUUAUACAGACAAUAAUCUAAAUACAAUGCUAUAAGGAGCGUGAUAUCACUGAAUUAAUCUGAAUUUUGGUGCAGUCAAUAAUAAUGAGGUCUCUUGUGACAACAAAUUACCGCGAGAGCAGACAGCUUCUUUAAACGUUAUCGAAUCUCGCGGUACUUUGAUGUCAUACACCGAACAGUCUGCGCUGCGCAACGCCGUGUGACAUUGAAUACAGUUUUUUUUAUGGCACAGUCAGUACUUCAGUGUUUAAAAAAUCUCGUUGACAGUAGCGAUGUUUUACCCAAAUUCUAUAAAACAUCACGUUAAUAAACUUGUACUUGAUUUGACAGCGGCUUAAAAAAGUUUAAGAACCACUGCCCAACAGCCAGAGGGCUCUCUCGUUCAGAAACUCAAUGCGCUGCAGACGAAGAACCAUUACACACGCAGCUCCAGAAAAUGGCUAAAGCAUAUGUUUAUAUUUUGCUGUUCUUCAAACCUUUUCAGGUAUUUUGUUGAUAAUAAAGAAUAUGUGUAAUGAUUAUGUUUGACCAGUGUUGCUUUUUCAAAUGCAUAACGACUCCCUACUUAAAUGAUGCAUGUAAAUGUACACAUAUACCUCAAUGACAUUGUUUUUUAUUGCGUUUAUUCUUUUUAUAUUGAUUGAAUAUGAAAACGUUAAUUAAUCUGACUGAAAUUUGUGUUUAAUACUGAUUUAUGUUGUUUUCUGUUUAGUGUGUCCUGUUAAACUUGUUCAGAAACAUGAAGAUUAUAGUUUCUACAGAGCCUAAGGCUAUUUUUUUGCAUGGCAUCCACUGAUGGAUAAUCUGCUCACCUAAACAGGGUUGUGUUCAUACCAAGCAUUUGAUUGCUCAUCUGCUUUGGAGAAAGUUGGGGCUUUCCUGCUGAGAUUAUCUGAAAGGUCUUAAUUCUGAAAGAUGAAAGCCUCCACCUGUUGGCUGGCACUGGCGCCUGACAGUUUUCUCCAUCCUUUGAAUGAAGGCCACCACGAGUGGUCAUGUUAACCAAAUAUUUUGAAUCUUAGCCAGCAUAAUCCAUGGGCACCAGCUGUGAAAAGUGCAGGACAAACAUCUUCCUCCACCUGUGAGUCUCUUAUGUAGAUAAGCACUUCAGGAUAAACCAGGCUGUAAUCGGCUGAGAUGCACAGAUUCAACUCUGGCCCAUUGUCAUCCCAACACCUCAUCUGCCCAUCAGUUUCAUUUAGUGUCGGUCUAUUGCAAAAGUUCUUAUAAACUUUAAAUGAGACUUUGUGUAAAGCAGGGGUUUCCAAACCUUUAAUUCCACAACCUUUUAAGCCCGGGAUACAUUGCAGGAUGAGACACACGCAUGAGACAUAUUUUGCACAAGGGAACCACAUAUGUGACAAUCCGAACACUUAUUAUGAAUUAGCGCAUCCUCGGAAGUGCAGUCACGAGCCGCCACUGGUCUGCAGGUUGUAGCAGCAAACACGUUGAUCAUGCUAAAUUUCUGACACUGUCAGAAAAUUAUCGUAGGCUGUCUUUGGUACCAAGACCAGCAAAACGUCCGUCUUUGAACCUCUCUCACUUGUACGACAUGAGACCACCGAUUAAGAGCCAUGAUCACAGAAAACUCCAUUGUUUUACACACACAACAAUUGUUUUACAAUGGUAAUCUUACAUUUGGGACAUUUGGUUCUUUUUAUUUUCUAUACUUGCUAUACCAAAAUAACUUAUGGUAUAUCAAAGCCAUUGCUAAUAAUUAUUUGGGCAAGUCGUUAUUCAAUGCAACACUCCUUAUCUUACAGUUCAGCCCACAAGUGGAUUCUUAGCCACAGUUUAAAAACCCCGGUGUAAGAGGAUGUUGAGUUGUAAUUAAAUAAAGUCACAUCUAAGUCUUGUGGUUUGUCAUUAUAUUCACAGUGUAACUCGGUUCUUUUAGCAGUUACUACGUUACAGUGCUCUUAAAGUCUCAUGAUCAGCUCUGGGUUUUGUGAAGUUAUAUAAUGAGAAUGUGAUCAAUAGCUUUGCAGUAUUUUUGUAACACUGUGGCUGUAAUUGUAUGACCAAUUAUCACAUAGGUUAAACAUUUGAUUCAAAUUUAAUUUAGUAAACAAACUAGUUAGUAUAAUUCAUGCUGUGACUCUGGAUUACACCUGGUCAAAUAAAUAUGUCUAUUGUGUAUUCACUUUUUGUAUAAGGUUUCUUCAUCUACUGUAUAUAAACGUCACCUUUGGUUUGCUUAUUACAGUUUGUUGCUUUUUAACUAAAUGUUGUGAAAAUGCAAGGUGUGUUACACAAUUUCAACGGAUGGUGUGGGGUCAAAAAAUAUCAGACAAAAAGUCUCAACUUUAGAUACUGACAGACAC